UUUCUUCUUUAAACCAGACAGGAGAAUUUACAGAUUUAUGUGAAUUUUGUAAAGAGCCGCGUUUUAUACAGGCAGUUUCUGCAAUGGGACCACCGUCUACCCCCACACUGUCGCUAGACUGCACUAGACCAUCAGCAUGUUCCCCGCCUGGAAAAGUUUGUAAUACGAGUGACACCAUCCCAAAAGUAUGCCCAACAACAACUGCACCAACAACGACUACAGCAGAUCCCAAAACUACAAAGAGCCCCUGUGGAAAGAAGCAGCAUACUCGUCCAUCAAUUUAGGCAAAGACAACAGAAAACAAUCGUUGAA
Mytilus californianus (California mussel) is the source of this 312-nucleotide long non-coding RNA. RefSeq lists it as uncharacterized. The record is from RefSeq and is a predicted model, not a curated record. NCBI's taxonomy places the organism in Eukaryota, Metazoa, Mollusca, Bivalvia, Mytilida, Mytilidae. The transcript has 3 exons.